GGCGGGGGCAGCGCCGGCUGCGGAGGGAAACGCUUCGCUCUCCGCGCUCCGGGACCGGCGCCUGCUGCGGUGCGGAUGCGUAUGGACGAAUCGUCGUGAAAACAGCUCCCGACGUUUUCCCCUUAAAAAAAAAAAAAAAAAAAACAAAACCAAAAAAAAAACACCAAACCCAAACAAACCGCCCACUUGGAUAAUUAAAACGGUUUUUGGCAGUAUCCAGUGUUGCUAAGGCUGAUUGAAUUCCUACUACCAGUCCUACUCCCAAAGGCAGCUUUUCUAAGCUGAUUCCUGACACAGGAGAUGAAUCCUGCUGCAGAUGAGGAGCACAGGGACCUGUCGCCUUCACUCCACUUCCAGCAAACUCUCCUGAGAGCAAAUCUCCCUCAAAGCUGUUCUGGUGAUCACACAGCAGAAAAAUAAUUCCCCAACUGUUGCACCAGGGUAACUGCUACGGGUAAA
RNAcentral lists this long non-coding RNA (459 nucleotides) under Lonchura striata (white-rumped munia). RNAcentral's name for it is "domestica (Bengalese finch) lncRNA (ENSLSDG00000017799.1)". Lineage: Eukaryota; Metazoa; Chordata; Aves; Passeriformes; Estrildidae. The record is from RNAcentral.